Molecule: ribosomal RNA, 449 nt
Filed under: uncultured bacterium
Lineage: Bacteria
Description: partial 16S ribosomal RNA
Rfam family: Bacterial small subunit ribosomal RNA
Source: RNAcentral
AACGAACGCUGGCGGCAGGCCUAACACAUGCAAGUCGAACGCCCUAGCAAUAGGGAGUGGCAGACGGGUGAGUAACACGUGGGAACGUGCCCUUCGGUUCGGAAUAACUCAGGGAAACUUGAGCUAAUACCGGAUAAGUGCGAGAGCAGAAAGAUUUAUCGCCGAAGGAUCGGCCCGCGUCCGAUUAGCUAGUUGGUGAGGUAAUGGCUCACCAAGGCGACGAUCGGUAGCUGGUCUGAGAGGAUGACCAGCCACACUGGGACUGAGACACGGCCCAGACUCCUACGGGAGGCAGCAGUGGGGAAUAGUGGACAAUGGGCGCAAGCCUGAUCCAGCCAUGCCGCGUGAGUGAUGAAGGCCCUAGGGUUGUAAAGCUCUUUCGCCAGGGACGAUAAUGACUGUACCGGGAGAAUAAGCCCCGGCUAACUUCGUGCCAGCCGCCGCGGUAA